This 581-nucleotide unclassified non-coding RNA is filed under the name Apiospora arundinis. RNAcentral's name for it is "sequence contains 18S rRNA gene, ITS1, 5.8S rRNA gene, ITS2, 28S rRNA gene". The stretch from base 225 to 378 matches the Rfam family "5.8S ribosomal RNA". Lineage: Eukaryota; Fungi; Ascomycota; Sordariomycetes; Amphisphaeriales; Apiosporaceae. The record is from RNAcentral.
UCGUAACAAGGUCUCCGUUGGUGAACCAGCGGAGGGAUCAUUACAGAGUUAUACAACUCCCAUACCAUCUGUUAACCUACCCAGUUAUGCCUCGGCGUAAGCUCGGUUGGAGGCACCUGCAGCUACCCUGUAGUUGCGGACUGCCAACUCCAGCCGCGGCCCGCCGGCGGUACACUAAACUCUGUUUUAUUUUAUAUUCUGAGCGUCUUAUUUUAAUAAGUUAAAACUUUCAACAACGGAUCUCUUGGUUCUGGCAUCGAUGAAGAACGCAGCGAAAUGCGAUAAGUAAUGUGAAUUGCAGAAUUCAGUGAAUCAUCGAAUCUUUGAACGCACAUUGCGCCCAUCAGUAUUCUGGUGGGCAUGCCUGUUCGAGCGUCAUUUCAACCCUUAAGCCUAGCUUAGUGUUGGGAAUCUGCUGUACUGCAGUUCCUUAAAGACAGUGGCGGAGCGGCGGUAGUCCUCUGAGCGUAGUAAUUUAUUUCUCGCUUUUGUCAGGCUCUGUCCUCCCGCCAUAAAACCCCCAAUUUUUUAGUGGUUGACCUCGGAUCAGGUAGGAAUACCCGCUGAACUUAAGCAUAUCA